RNAcentral lists this ribosomal RNA (463 nucleotides) under uncultured bacterium. Its description in RNAcentral is "partial 16S ribosomal RNA". It matches the Rfam family "Bacterial small subunit ribosomal RNA", at positions 28 to 507 of the family's 1533-position model. The record is from RNAcentral.
GAUGAACGCUGACAGAAUGCUUAACACAUGCAAGUCUUUGGCGAAGCUGUGCUUGCACAGCCUAGCCAAGGCGGACGGGUGAGUAACGCGUAAGGAACUUGCCCUGCAGUCAGGGAUAACAGACGGAAACGACUGAUAAGACCUGGUAAAGUCAGGCGGACUCAUGUCCAGCCUGAUGAGAAGAGAUGCUGCAGGAGAGCCUUGCGUCCUAUUAGCUUGUUGGUGGGGUAACGGCCCACCAAGGCGAUGAUAGGUAGCCGGCCUGAGAGGGUGGACGGCCACAAGGGGACUGAGAUACGGCCCUUACUCCUACGGGAGGCAGCAGUGGGGAAUAUUGGACAAUGGGGGCAACCCUGAUCCAGCAAUUCUGUGUGCACGAUGAAGGUUUUCGGAUUGUAAAGUGCUUUCAGCAGGGAAGAAAAAAAUGACGGUACCUGCAGAAGAAGCGACGGCUAAAUACGUG